GAAAGCCGUAUGCGGGAAAACCGCACGUACGGUUUAAUGAAAGGAGGCUGGACUAUACCCUGGCUCCUGCUCUACCCAAAU
RNAcentral lists this non-coding RNA (81 nucleotides) under Desulfobacter postgatei 2ac9. The record is from RNAcentral. Lineage: Bacteria; Pseudomonadati; Thermodesulfobacteriota; Desulfobacteria; Desulfobacterales; Desulfobacteraceae.